UCUGUAGCUCAGUUGGUAGAGCACUGGUCUCCAAAAUCAGUCGUCGUGGGUUCGAAUCCUUCCAG
RNAcentral lists this transfer RNA (65 nucleotides) under pig gut metagenome. It matches the Rfam family "tRNA", at positions 5 to 66 of the family's 71-position model. Rfam says of the family: Transfer RNA (tRNA) molecules are approximately 80 nucleotides in length. Their secondary structure includes four short double-helical elements and three loops (D, anti-codon, and T loops). Further hydrogen bonds mediate the characteristic L-shaped molecular structure. tRNAs have two regions of fundamental functional importance: the anti-codon, which is responsible for specific mRNA codon recognition, and the 3' end, to which the tRNAs corresponding amino acid is attached (by aminoacyl-tRNA synthetases). tRNAs cope with the degeneracy of the genetic code in two manners: having more than one tRNA (with a specific anti-codon) for a particular amino acid; and 'wobble' base-pairing, i.e. permitting non-standard base-pairing at the 3rd anti-codon position. The record is from RNAcentral.